Molecule: long non-coding RNA, 1728 nt
Organism: Phragmites australis (common reed)
Lineage: Eukaryota; Viridiplantae; Streptophyta; Magnoliopsida; Poales; Poaceae
Exons: 4
Source: RefSeq, a predicted model, not a curated record
GCAUUUUUCGUCUGCCCCAGUCGAACGAUCGCCCGCUCCUCGCCCGUCCGAUCAGUCCCGCGCGCCCACCCUCCUCAUCGCCCGUCCAACAGCUCCUGCCCGGCAAUCACGCUCCGCCCUUCCCCACCAUGCCCGUCGCGCCUCCUCAUCGCGCGUCCAACAGAUCCCGCCCAGCAAUCACGCGCCGCCCUUCCCCACCACGCCCGUCGCACCUCCUCAUCGCCCGUCCACCGCCGCCACUCCGCGCACCCUUCCCCCACGCUCGUCGCGCCGCCUCUCCCAUCCCACCUCGACGCCGCACCGCUCCAAGCUAGCUGCCGUGGCCGCCAGUCGUCUGCCGCGAUCGAGCGUCGACGCUGCGCCCCUCCUUCGCGGCGGCGACCUCCCCCUCUUGUCUCAUGUGAGCGAUUCUCCGAGGGACAUGUUCACCGGACUCUCUCCGCCCGAAGCUAUUCGUGUCGCCGUCAGGUCUCCACGCCGCCCCACAUCGCCGGACUCGACUCCGCCCGAAGCAGCCGAACCAGCCGGGAUCCCUCGCUUUCGCCGUCGCUUCCUAUUUCCUCCCCUAAACUGCUGGUAGGAUGCCGUCCCUGAAUCGCAUCUCAUUCCCGCAGCCGUCGCCAUCUCGCCUCUCAUCUGCCCACAGGCCGGGUGGCGUCCUGGCCAGGUGCAGCAACGCUGUCGCCCAGAAGAUCUCCGGCGCCAUCAAGCUCCAGCUCAGGAGGUUCCUCCUAAUAGCGGUGAGCUAUUCUUACUUUCAGGACCAGGAUGCAAGCUAAAGGAGGGAUCUCCAUCUCGACUUCACGCAGUGGCCACAGGCCACAGCACUUCAACUUGCAAUUCAAACUGCACAAGGACUUCAGAUGCCCUUCUUCCAUUUCUUCUCUGAUUGUCAGAUGCUUAUCAACGCUGUAAAAGCUGCCGAUCCAAUUGACAGCCCUGGACAUUGGAGAAAAUAACUUUGUGUGCCCUCAUGAAGGUUGUGGAAAGGAGAAUUUACAUUUGUCAGUACCAUUCCUAUAUAUUGGCCAAAUACAAAUGGAAUUAUUUCGCGUUACAAAAUCUACAUCUCUAGAAAAUACAUACAUCUAAACAAGCCACCUGAGAUUGAUGCUUCCUGACAUACCGAUCACCCAAAUGUCCAGGAGCCUCCCUGAAAACCUUUGAGAAUUCAAGGUUGACAUGCUCUAGGUCUUAAGGAAGCUAAAUUGCUGAUAACUAUGCAAGCUAAAGAGCUGCCCCCUUUUGUUCACUACGAAGAUGAGGACAUCUUCCUGAUAUUUGAGGAUUCAAGACUCAAGAGCAAUGAUUGAUAACACCAUCAUCCAAGAGCUAUAAGUUCAUAAGGAGCUUAAAGCUCUGCUAUCAUGUUUAAAUUGAGGGAAGAGACCAGAACUACCAUCCAAGAGCGAGACAAACUACGGAAAAAGAUGGUAAAAUUUGAACUGCACAUCGUGUACACCAUAACUGAAGCUUGAAAGAACAACUCAGCUCUCCGUGUUGUUCCUUUGACUUUGGCAUGGGGCUGCCAUGUUUUGCUUUCAUCUGUCCAUUUAAGUCAAGUGACAGCCACCUGAUGAAAAUUUUGUCGAAUACAUCCAGGUCAUUAGUACUGUCUGCACAUGGUCUUCCAGCUUGCCAUAGCCAAAAGUCCCUACCAGUGUUGGGCCGUUGGCCAAUUCCCAUCUAGAGGAAAGCACCUCUUAUUCAACUUUUUAACAAUAACCA